GACGAACGCUGGCGGCGUGCUUAACACAUGCAAGUCGAACGGAAAGGCCCUGCUUUUGUGGGGUGCUCGAGUGGCGAACGGGUGAGUAACACGUGAGUAACCUGCCCUUGACUUUGGGAUAACUUCAGGAAACUGGGGCUAAUACCGGAUAGGAGCUCCUGCUGCAUGGUGGGGGUUGGAAAGUUUCGGCGGUUGGGGAUGGACUCGCGGCUUAUCAGCUAGUUGGUGGGGUAGUGGCUUACCAAGGCUUUGACGGGUAGCCGGCCUGAGAGGGUGACCGGCCACAUUGGGACUGAGAUACGGCCCAGACUCCUACGGGAGGCAGCAGUGGGGAAUAUUGCACAAUGGGCGGAAGCCUGAUGCAGCAACGCCGCGUGCGGGAUGACGGCCUUCGGGUUGUAAACCGCUUUCGCCUGUGACGAAGCGUGAGUGACGGUAAUGGGUAAAGAAGCACCGGCUAACUACGUGCCAGCAGCCGCGGUGAUACGUAGGGUGCGAGCGUUGUCCGGAUUUAUUGGGCGUAAAGGGCUCGUAGGUGGUUGAUCGCGUCGGAAGUGUAAUCUUGGGGCUUAACCCUGAGCGUGCUUUCGAUACGGGUUGACUUGAGGAAGGUAGGGGAGAAUGGAAUUCCUGGUGGAGCGGUGGAAUGCGCAGAUAUCAGGAGGAACACCAGUGGCGAAGGCGGUUCUCUGGGCCUUUCCUGACGCUGAGGAGCGAAAGCGUGGGGAGCGAACAGGCUUAGAUACCCUGGUAGUCCACGCUGUAAACGGUGGGUACUAGGUGUGGGGUCCAUUCCACGGGUUCCGUGCCGUAGCUAACGCUUUAAGUACCCCGCCUGGGGAGUACGGCCGCAAGGCUAAAACUCAAAGGAAUUGACGGGGCCCCGCACAAGCGGCGGAGCAUGCGGAUUAAUUCGAUGCAACGCGUAGAACCUUACCUGGGUUUGACAUGGAUCGGGAGUGCUCAGAGAUGGGUGUGCCUCUUUUGGGGUCGGUUCACAGGUGGUGCAUGCCUGUCGUCAGCUCGUGUCGUGAGAUGUUGGGUUAAGUCCCGCAACGAGCGCAACCCUUGUUCACUGUUGCCAGCACGUUAUGGUGGGGACUCAGUGGAGACCGCCGGGGUCAACUCGGAGGAAGGUGGGGAUGACGUCAAGUCAUCAUGCCCCUUAUGUCCAGGGCUUCACGCAUGCUACAAUGGCUGGUACAGAGAGUGGCGAGCCUGUGAGGGUGAGCGAAUCUCGGAAAGCCGGUCUCAGUUCGGAUUGGGGUCUGCAACUCGACCUCAUGAAGUCGGAGUCGCUAGUAAUCGCAGAUCAGCAACGCUGCGGUGAAUACGUUCCCGGG
This 1343-nucleotide ribosomal RNA is filed under the name uncultured bacterium. Its description in RNAcentral is "16S ribosomal RNA". It matches the Rfam family "Bacterial small subunit ribosomal RNA", at positions 28 to 1378 of the family's 1533-position model. The record is from RNAcentral.